UAUCCGUAGGUGAACCUGCGGAAGGAUCAUUAUCGUACAAAAUGUGAGGGGCAUCCGAGGGCUGUCGCUCACCCAAAAGUCGUGCACGCCCGAGUUUGUCCUCUUGCAUAAUAAUCCAUCUCACCCUUUGCUCGUCACCGCGUUGGCACCCUUCGGGGUCGUCUCGGAGGGGGGCACGCGGUUUCACGCGAACCCCCCUCUUAAAACUAUACAAUGAUCAAAUUUAUGCGAUCAAUACAACUUACAACAGCGGAUCUCUUGUCUCUCGCAUCGAUUAAG
This 279-nucleotide unclassified non-coding RNA is filed under the name plant metagenome. Its description in RNAcentral is "partial contains small subunit ribosomal RNA, internal transcribed spacer 1, and 5.8S ribosomal RNA". The record is from RNAcentral.